Molecule: long non-coding RNA, 669 nt
Filed under: Citrus sinensis (sweet orange)
Lineage: Eukaryota; Viridiplantae; Streptophyta; Magnoliopsida; Sapindales; Rutaceae
Description: long non-coding RNA (CSIN_LNC002619)
Source: RNAcentral
CAUAUUGCCCUUAUCCUACUCCUCCCCCUCCGUGUCCCCCAACAUUUCCACCAAAACACCCUCCGCAUGUAAAGCCACCUUUCCACCCCAAACCACCGCAUCACAAGCCACCCCAUGUCAAACCACCGCACAAGCCCCCGUAUGUUCCUAAACCACCUUACACACCAAGGCCUAAACCGCCUUACACGCCAAAACCACCUUAUACGCCAACCCCUAAGCCACCAUAUUUCCCCAAACCACCUUACACACCAAGGCCUAAGCCACCGUAUGCGCCAAAACCACCUUAUACGCCAACCCCUAAGCCACCCUAUUUCCCCAAACCACCUUACACACCAAGUCCCAAAACCACCUUACACCCCAACUCCUAAGCCACCGUAUGUCCCUAAACCACCGUAUGUACCAUCACCACCUUAUACCCCUCGCCCUAGACCACCGUAUGUACCAUCGCCACCUUAUACCCCUAGUCCUAAACCACCGUAUGUGCCAUCACCACCUUAUACCCCCAGCCCUACCCCACCAUAUGUACCAUCACCACCGUAUACCCCAAGCCCUACCCCGCCAUAUGUACCAUCACCACCGUAUACCCCAAGCCCUAGCCCACCACCACCACCAAGUGGAACACCGUGUCCUCCGCCGCCGCCACCAACUUGUCCCAUUGAUACUCUCAAG